This 1344-nucleotide ribosomal RNA is filed under the name uncultured bacterium. RNAcentral's name for it is "bacterial SSU rRNA". It matches the Rfam family "Bacterial small subunit ribosomal RNA", at positions 8 to 1361 of the family's 1533-position model. The record is from RNAcentral.
AGAGUUUGAUUUUGGCUCAGGAUGAACGCUAGCUACAGGCUUAACACAUGCAAGUCGAGCGGUAUGUGCUUUAGUGCAUACAGCGGCAGACGGGUGAGUAACACGUAUCUAACCUUCCCCUUACUUGGGCAUAGCCUCUGGAAACGGAGAUUAAUUUCCGAUGUGGUGUACAUUUCGCAUGUUUUGCGCACCAAAGAUUUAUCGGUAAGGGAUGGGGAUGCGCUCCAUUAGGUUGUAGGUAGGGUAAUGGCCUACCUAGCCUAUGAUGGAUAGGGGUUCUGAGAGGAAGGUCCCCCACAUUGGAACUGCGACACGGUCCAAACUCCUACGGGAGGCAGCAGUGAGGAAUAUUGGUCAAUGGCCGGAAGGCUGAACCAGCCAAGUAGCGUGCAGGAUGACUGCCUUAUGGAUUGUAAACUUCUUUUGCAAGGGAAUAAAGUGGGGGACGUGUCCUCCUUUGCAUGUACCUUGCGAAUAAGGAUCGGCUAACUCCGUGCCAGCAGCCGCGGUAAUACGGAGGAUCCGAGCGUUAUCCGGAUUUAUUGGGUUUAAAGGGUGCGCAGGCGGGAUGUUAAGUCGGCGGUGAAAUUUUGCAGCUCAACUGUAAAAGUGCCUUCGAUACUGGCUUUCUUGAGUGUGGAUGAAGUAGGCGGAAUUUGUGGUGUAGCGGUGAAAUGCUUAGAUAUCACGAGGAACUCCGAUUGCGCAGGCAGCUUACUAAACCACUACUGACGCUCAUGCACGAAGGCGUGGGGAUCAAACAGGAUUAGAUACCCUGUUAGUCCACGCAGUAAACGAUGAAAGUAGCUGUUUGCGAUAACCGUAAGCGGCCGAGCGAAAGCAUAAAGUAAUCCACCCGGGGAGUACGUUCGCAAGAAUGAAACUCAAAGGAAUUGACGGGGGCCCGCACAAGCGGAGGAACAUGUGGUUUAAUUCGAUGAUACGCGAGGAACCUCACCCGGGCUUGAAAUGCAUCUGACCGAAGUGGAGACACUAUAUAUAACAAUAGCAGAUGUGUAGGUGCUGCAUGGUUGUCGUCAGCUCGUGCCGUGAGGUGUCGGCUUAAGUGCCAUAACGAGCGCAACCCUCCCCGUUAGUUGCCAUCAGGUUAUGCUGGGAACUCUAGCGGGACUGCCACCGUAAGGUGUGAGGAAGGUGGGGAGGACGUCAAAUCAGCACGGCCCUUAUGUCCGGGGCGACACACGUGUUACAAUGGGCGGUACAGAGGGAAGCUACCCGGUGACGGGAUGCUAAUCUUUAAAACCGUUCUCAGUUCGGAUCGGAGUCUGUAACUCCACUCUGUGAAGCUGGAUUCGCUAGUAAUCGCGCAUCAGCCAUGGCGCG